GUGAGUCAUCGAAUCUUUGAACGCACAUUGCGCCCCUUGGUAUUCCGGGGGGCAUGCCUGUUCGAGCGUCAUUUCAACCCUCAAGCUUAGCUUGGUAUUGAGUCUAUGUCAGUAAUGGCAGGCUCUAAAAUCAGUGGCGGCGCCGCUGGGUCCUGAACGUAGUAAUAUCUCUCGUUACAGGUUCUCGGUGUGCUUCUGCCAAAACCCAAAUUUUUCUAUGGUUGACCUCGGAUCAGGUAGGGAUACCCGCUGAACUUAAGCAUAUCAAUAAGCGGAGGA
This 279-nucleotide unclassified non-coding RNA is filed under the name Botrytis sp. Its description in RNAcentral is "partial contains 5.8S ribosomal RNA, internal transcribed spacer 2, and large subunit ribosomal RNA". The stretch from base 1 to 71 matches the Rfam family "5.8S ribosomal RNA", at positions 84 to 154 of the family's 154-position model. Lineage: Eukaryota; Fungi; Ascomycota; Leotiomycetes; Helotiales; Sclerotiniaceae. The record is from RNAcentral.